CUACGGGUGGCUGCAGUGAGGAAUAUUGCACAAUGGGGGGAACUCUGAUGCAGCAACGCCGCGUGGAGGAUGACACUUUUCGGAGCGUAAACUCCUUUUAUAUAGGAAGAAGAUGACGGUACUAUAUGAAUAAGCGCCGGCUAACUCCGUGCCAGCAGCCGCGGUAAUACGGAGGGCGCAAGCGUUACUCGGAAUCACUGGGCGUAAAGAGCGUGUAGGCGGAUUAAAAAGUCAGAAGUGAAAUCCUAUAGCUUAACUAUAGAACUGCUUCUGAAACUCUUAAUCUAGAAUAUGGGAGAGGUAGAUGGAAUUUCUGGUGUAGGGGUAAAAUCCGUAGAGAUCAGAAGGAAUACCGAUUGCGAAGGCGAUCUACUAGAACAUUAUUGACGCUGAGACGCGAAAGCGUGGGGAGCAAACAGGAUUAGAUACCCGCGUAGUC
RNAcentral lists this ribosomal RNA (439 nucleotides) under uncultured bacterium. RNAcentral describes it as "partial 16S ribosomal RNA". It matches the Rfam family "Bacterial small subunit ribosomal RNA", at positions 339 to 795 of the family's 1533-position model. The record is from RNAcentral.